RNAcentral lists this unclassified non-coding RNA (336 nucleotides) under soil metagenome. RNAcentral's name for it is "partial contains 5.8S ribosomal RNA, internal transcribed spacer 2, and large subunit ribosomal RNA". The stretch from base 1 to 120 matches the Rfam family "5.8S ribosomal RNA", at positions 35 to 154 of the family's 154-position model. The record is from RNAcentral.
GAUGAAGAACGUAGCGAAAUGAGAUAAGUAGUGUGAAUUGCAGAAUUCAGUGAAUCAUCGAAUCUUUGAACGCACAUUGCGCCCCUUGGUAUUCCAUGGGGCAUGCCUGUUCGAGCGUCAUUUGUACCUUCAAGCUUUGCUUGGUGUUGGGUGUUUGUCUCGCCUUUGCGUGUAGACUCGCCUUAAAAUAAUUGGCAGCCGGCGUAUUGAUUUCGGAGCGCAGUACAUCUCGCGCUUUGCACUCAUAACGACAGCGUCCAAAAGUACAUUUUACACUCUUGACCUCGGAUCAGGUAGGGAUACCCGCUGAACUUAAGCAUAUCAAUAAGCGGAGGA